Molecule: transfer RNA, 70 nt
Filed under: Acetomicrobium hydrogeniformans
Lineage: Bacteria; Thermotogati; Synergistota; Synergistia; Synergistales; Acetomicrobiaceae
Rfam family: tRNA
About the family: Transfer RNA (tRNA) molecules are approximately 80 nucleotides in length. Their secondary structure includes four short double-helical elements and three loops (D, anti-codon, and T loops). Further hydrogen bonds mediate the characteristic L-shaped molecular structure. tRNAs have two regions of fundamental functional importance: the anti-codon, which is responsible for specific mRNA codon recognition, and the 3' end, to which the tRNAs corresponding amino acid is attached (by aminoacyl-tRNA synthetases). tRNAs cope with the degeneracy of the genetic code in two manners: having more than one tRNA (with a specific anti-codon) for a particular amino acid; and 'wobble' base-pairing, i.e. permitting non-standard base-pairing at the 3rd anti-codon position.
Source: RNAcentral
GGAUAUAACUCAGCUGGAUAGAGCGACGGCCUCCUAAGCCGUAGGUCGCCGGUUCGAAUCCCGUUGUCCG